UGGGCUACCAUACCAUCCUCCAAGGGAAUCUUUCCAACCCAGGGAUUGAACCACGUCUCUUAUGUCUUCUGCAUUGGCAGGUGGGUUCUUUACUACUAGCACCACCUUUUUUUUAUUUCCAGACUGUCAGUUUUGUUCACUGGAUUUAUAUGUUUCGUUAUGCCAGUUCUAUACUGUUUUGAUUCUCUAGCUUUGUGGCAAGUUUUGAAGUUAAAAUGUGUUAAUCCUACGAUUUGUUUAUUUUUGUCAAGGUUGUUUUGGUUAUUUGAGGUUCCUUUCAUUUCCAUGUGAAUUUAAAGAUCAUGUCCAUUUCUGCAAAAAAAAGACCAGUGGAUUUUUCAUCAAAUAUGUGAAACCCUUUUGUCUCUUUUCUUGACGUAUUUUGAUCUUGACCAUAUUAAGUAUUUUAUCCAAUGAACAGGGAAUGUCCUUCCAUUUAUUUAGGUCUUUAAUUUCUUUCAACAAAGUUUUGUAAUUUUCAGUGAAUACAAGUCUUGUACCUCAUUCAUUAACUCUGUUCUGAAGUAUUUUAUUCUUUUUGAUGCUAUCAUAAGUAGAGUUGUUUUCUUAAUAUACUUUUGGAUUGUUCAUUGUCCGUGUAUAGUAAAACAACAGAGUUUUUUUGUGUUAAUCUUAUGUUCUACAAUUUUAUUGAAUUUAUUAGCUCUAAUAGUUUUUUGAUGGAUUCUUUGGGAUUUUCUAUGUAUAAGAUUAUGUUCUACAGAUAGAGAUACUUUUACUUUACUCUUUCUAAUUUGGAUGCCUUUAUUUCUUUUUAUUGCCUGGUUUUCUUUAGCUGAAACUUCUUUUACAGUGUUGAAUAGAAGUGCCCAAAGUGAAUAUUCUCAUCUUAUUCCUCACUUUAGUGGGAAAGCUUUCAGUCUUUUACCCUUAAAUAUUUUUAGCUGUGAGUUUUUCAUACAUGCCUUUUUAUCAUGUUGAGAAGUUCACUUCUGUUCCUAGUUUACUGAGUGAUUUUAUCCUGAAAAGGUUUUUGAUGUAGUCAAAUGCUUUUUCUGCUUGACUUGACCAAUUUGUGGGGAUUUUUCAUCUUUAUUUAGUAUAUUAAAUUGAUUUUCUCAUGUUGAACUGCUCUUGCCUUCCAGGUGUAAAUUCUACUUCAUCGUGAUUCAUGAUUGAUUGAUUGCUGCAGCAUAUGGCUUGUGGAAUCUUGGUUCCCUUACCAGGGAUUGAAUCUGUGCCUCCUGCAGUGGAAGUACAGAGUCCUAACUACUGGACUGCCAGCGAAUUCCCCAUGACCCUUUUAAUAUGUUUUUUGGGCUCAAUCUUACAGUAUUCUGUUGAGUAUAUUACAUAUAUAUUCAUAAGGCAUAUUGACCUGUAAUUUCAUUUCUUUGUGAUUCCUUUAUUUGGCUUAAAUAUUAGGGUAAUUAACACUGGCCUCAUUGAAUUAAGAAAUACAGUUUACUCUUGAACUACAUAGGUUUAAACUCGUAGGUGCACUUGUAGAUUUUUUUUUAAGUACUAAAUAUUACAGUACUGCACAAUCCAUGGUUGGUUGAGUCCACAGGUGCAGAAGCAGAUAAGGAGGGCCAGCUCUAAAGUUAUACUCAGAUUUUCAACUGCACUGAGUUCAUCACCCCUAACCCCUGUGUUUUUUUGGGGUCAACUAUAUUUCUUCCACUUAUUUUUGGAAGAGUUUGGGAAGAAUUAGUGUUACUCUUCUUUAAAUGUUUGCUAAAAUUCACCAGUGAAGUUAUCUGGUUCUGGACUUUCCUUUGUUUGAGAGAUAUUUGAUUACUGAUUUGAUCUCUUUGCUUGCUAUUCACUUUUUGUAUUUCUUCCUGAGUCAAUUGGUUAUUUCUGUGUUUCUAGGAAUUUAUUCAUUUAAUCUAAGUUUCUAAUUUUUUGACAUGUAAUUGUUUGUAGCAGUAUUGUCUUAUAACCCUUUUUAUUUCUGUUAGGUUAGUAAAAGUAUCUUCAUUUCUGAUUUUAAUAUUUUGAGUCUUUUCUCUUUUUUGUCAGUCUGGCUAAAGGUUUGUUAAUUUUGUUGAUUUAUUUUUAGAGAAGCAACUUUUGGCUUUGUUCAUUCUAUUUUUAUACUCCACUUUUUUGUCUCUCUAAUUUUUAUUAUGUCCUUCUUCUUGCCAGAGACAAGAAUAUAUAAUCCUAACUAUAUCACAGUAUCACUAGGAUAGAGACAAAUGGGGAGAACACUGUCUGAUGACAGAAGCAGAGAUUGGAGUAUUGCACCUUCAAUCCAAAGACUCUUACAUAUUGCUGGCUACCAUCAGAAGUGAGGGGAAGGCAUGGAUAAUAUCUGUCUAGAGUCACAGAGGGACUUUUAAAAAAUUUUAAUAUUUAAGAUUGGUCCAAAUUGCUUAAUACUUUAUUUAUUAUUGCCAUAUAAUGUUUUAUUAUGAGACCAUACCACAUUUUAGUUUUCCAUUUCUUUACUGAAAGACACUUGUCAUUUCCAUUUUUUCAUUGUCAUGUAUAAUAUAGGCAUACCUUGUUUUAUUGUGCUUUGCUUUAUUGCACCUAACAGAUGUUGCAUUAUUAUUAUUUUUUUAAAUAAAUUGACGGUUUAUGGUAACCCUGCAUUGAGUCUUUGGCACAUUGUUCCAAAAGCAUACACACUUCAUAUCAGGGUGUCAUAUUUUGGUAAUUUUCACAAUAUUUUGACUUUUUCAUUAUUAUUAUAUUUGUCAUGGUGAUCUGUGAUCAGUGAUCUUUGAUGUUAGUAUUGUAAUUGUUUUGGACCCCCACAAACCAUAUUCAUAUAAGAUUAACUUACAUAUUGUAUGUGUUCUGGCUGUUCUACCAACCAACUGUUUCCCAGUUUCUUUACCUUUCCUCAGGCCUUCAUAUUCUCUGAGACAAAAAAGUAUUGACAUCAGUCCAGUUAAUAACUCUACAGUGGCCUCUCAGUGUUCAAGUGAAAGUAAGAGUCAUAAAUCUCUCACUUUAAAUCAAAAGCUGGAAAUGAUUAAACUUAGUGAGGAAAGUAUGUUGAAAACCUAGACAGACCAAAAUCUAGGCCUCUUGCACCAAACUGUUAAUCAAGUUGUGAAUGCAAAAGAAAAGUACUUAAAGGAAAUUAAAAGUGCUACUCCAGUAAACACACACAUGAUAAGAAAGUGAAACAGUCUUAUUAUGAUAUGGAGAAAGUUUUAGUGGUUUGGAUAGAAAAUGAAACAAGCCACUAUAUUCCCUUAAGUGAAAGCCUAAUCCAGAGGAAGACCUAAUUUUCUUUUCUUCAAUUCCAUGAAGGCUGAAAGAGGUGAGGAAAACUUCAGAAAAAAUGUUUGAAGUUAGCAGAGACUGGUUCAUGAGGUUUAAGGAAAGAAGCUGUCUCCAUACCAUCAAAGUGCAAGGUGAAGCAGCAUGUCCUGAUGUAGAAACUGCAGUAAGUUAUCCAGGAGAUCUAGCUAAGGAAUCCUUAUCAUUUGAGGAUGUAACUGUGGGCUUCACUCAGGAGGAAUGGCAGAAGCUGGACCCUGCUCAGAGGACUCUGUACAGGGAUGUGAUCCUGGAGAACUAUAGUCACCUCAUCUCAGUGGGGUUUUGCAUGCCUAAACCAGAACUGAUCUUCAAGUUGGAAUGAGGAGAGCAGCUAUGGGUAUUAGAGACAGAGUUUCCAAGCCAGAUCUACCCAGGGCCUCACCUCAAGAUAAACUGUUAAACCAGAGCCUAACCUGAGAGAAGAGACUCAUCCCAGACUCCUCUAAACUUGCCAUCUCACCUAAGUGUGGCAGGGGAGAACAAAACUGAGCAACACUUAUUAAGAUGACGCCAUAGGCACACAUGCUCACUAAAAAGACUGAGACCUAAUCAUAGAACUAUAAACUCUUCCUCUCAUGUCUUAUCACCAUAUCAAUUAACUUCCUAUAGAAUACCAAGAAACUGAAAGAACUAAAAGCUAAAAGAAGCUAAAAUACCAACAGCUGAAAGAACUGCCAGCCUAAGAUCUUAUUUAAGGAGGAGUCUUUAAAGAAACAGAAGGACAAUGGAAGAGAGAGACAAAAAGACACUAGAGGGAAUUUUAGCCUCUGAUGCACAGCUAUAAUGAACAGUAAACAGAGCCUACCUCGUAGCCACAUAAAAUCAAACCUCACAUUAAAAGCUUAUUACAUCAGUUCCUUUAAUUGAAUACAUAAUUUAUUGCUUUUAAGCAAAAAAUUACAAAGCAUGCUAAAAGGAAAGAAAAAAGGUUCAAAAGGCAAAGCAUGUUUCAGAACAUGGUUCAGAUAUGGAAAAGAUUUUGGACAGAAAUUUAAAAUAAUUAUGAUUAAUAUAUUAAGAGCUCUGCUGGAAAAAGUGGACAGCAUGUAAUAACAGAAGGUUAAUGUAAGCAAAGGAAUGGAAACGAUAAUAAAGAAUAAAUGAGAAAUGCUAGAAAUCAAAAUCACUCAGUAAGAAUGAAGGCAGUGAGCAUAACAGGGAAAGAAUCUGUGAUCUCAGUGAUGUCAAUAGAAACUUGCCACACUGAAGAUUAGAAAAAGGAUAAUAAAAAGAAUAAAGGAACACAAUUUUCAAGAACUGUGGAACACUUACAAAAUAUUUAACACAUUUUAAUGGGAAUAUCAGAAGGAGAAGAAAGAGAAAGGAGCAGAAUAAAUAUAAAACCACAGAUCCAGGAAGCUCAGGGAACACCAAGUAGGAUAAAUAUGGGGGGAAAAGUCUACACAUAGGUAUCUCAUAUUCAAACUACAGAAAAAUAAAAGGUAAAGAAGAAAUCUUGAACAAAGCUAGAGAAAAAUAUAUCAUAGCUACAGUGGAGUAGGGAUAAAGAUUACAUUGUUCUUCUCUUCAAAAACUAUGCAUGUGAGAGUGGAGCAAAAUAUUUAAAGAUUUAAAUAUUUAAAAAUCUAGAUUUCUAUAUCCAGUGAAACUGUUCUUCAAAAGUAAAUAAGAAAUAAAAACUUUCUCAAGUAAACAAAAUUGAAAGAAUUAUUCACCAGUAAACCUUGUAAAACAGUUAAUAGGAUUCUUAAGAGAGAAGGAAAAUGAUAUUAGAAAGUUCUACCUGUGUAAGGAAAGGAAGAUAUGAGCAGGAAUUAUUAAAAGCCAAAUAAUGUCUUCCAUGUUUCUUAUUCUUAAUUAAUCUAACAAAUAACAAUUUGUUCAACUUAAUACUAGUAUCAGUAGUCUCAGUAAUUAUAGAUUUGUGUAAAUGAAAUGAAUGGCGGCAAUAUUAUAAAGGAUUGGAGAGAGGUAUUGGGAAUACUCUGUUAUAAGGUAGCUGCACCACCUGUGAAGUGAUACAAUGUUGUCUGAAAGUGGACUUGAAUUAGUUGUACGUGUAUAUUUCAAAUUCCAGGACAACGAGUAGAAAAAUUUUCAAGAAGUAUCUCAAGAGAUAGAGAACACAAGUCACAGAAUGGGAGAACAUAUUUGCAAAAGGCAUAUCUGAUAAAGGACUGUUAUCCAAAAUAUACAAAGAACUGUUAAAACUCAAGAAUAAGAAAUCAAGAAACCCUAUUUAAAAUGGGCAAAAGACCUGACUAGAUACCUCACUGAAGGAGACAUAAAGAUGGCAAAUAGCCAUGUGAAAAGACGCUCAACAAAUAUAUCAUAAGGGAAUUGUAAAUUCAAACUAUUCUCAAACUACACUGGACAUCUAUUAGAAUGGCCAUAAUUCAAAACAUUGACAACAAAUUCUGGCAAGCAUGUCAAGCAACAAGAACUCUUCUUUAUUACUGAAAGCUUUAGCUUAUCUUGGGAUCCUGGAAGAGCCCCCAAGAUGAUAGAUAAAAGUUUACAGUGUUCCAACAUAUUCAUUGCCUCUGAAGGAGAAGAUUUAACUCUGGGACCAAAGACAGUCUCAGUCACCAGAGCUUUGUGUAGUAUAAAUUUUGUUAAAGUGAUAAUGGCAGAAAAAAAACUUCUUACAUAGAUAUCAGAAGGGGGUAGAAAGAUUAUCUGCCUUGCUAGUUUUAAGCAGGAAAUUUUAUACUUUUCUGCCAGCUGCUGAGAAUAGAAAAAAAUAUCUCAAGGCUGUGAAAACUUUGCCCAGACCAUUUCCCGUAACAUACAUCCUGGGAUGACAUCAGCAGAAGGAAGGGUUAACCCAGAGCUCAAGGCUGUGGGCCCAGACCUUCUCCCAUAACACACAUUCUGACCUCAGAAAAGGUAUGUCCUUGAACACGACUUACUGCUGCCUGCAAGGCCUGUGUGUCUAAGGCAAAAGAAUGUGAGAAGGAAAGAUGUUCACCUCCUCCUAAAAGGGGCCUUAGGCUUGGAUACCUUACCGACGUGCCUAAGUUAACCCUCUCAUUACUAGUGGGACUCUAAUGUGGUACAACUUUGGAAGAUACUUUGGUAGUUUAUUACAAAGCUAAAUAUACUUCUUUUACUAUAAAAUCCAGCCAUUGUGAUCCUUAGUAUUUCCCCAAUGGUGCUUAAAAAUAUAUGCUUACUCAAAAACCAGCACACAGAUGUUUAUAAUAGCUUUAUUCAGUUUCCAAACCUUGGAAGCAACCAAAGUGUCCUUCAAUAAGAAAAACUUAAUAAAUAUCCAAACUCUGGUAUAUCCAGCCAGUGGAUUUCGUUCACUGCUUAAAAAAGGAGGGGAGGGUGCCAAGUCAUGAAAAGACAUGGAGGGACCUUAAAAGGAUAUUACUAAGUGAAAGAACCCGGUAGACUAAAUAUUGUGUGAUUCAACUGUAUAAGAUUCUGGAAAAUGCAAAAAUGUGGAAACCAUAGAAGAAUCAGUGGUUGCCACUGAUUGAAGCAGAAGGCUGAAUACAUGGAGUACAGAGGAUGUUUAGGGAAGUUAAACUAUUCUAUAUAAUGUAAUGGUGGAUAUAUUUUAUUAUACAUUUGUCAAAACCCUAGAAGGUACAACACCAGUAGUGAACCCUAAUAUAAACUGGACUUUGGUUAAUAAUGAUGUCUGUAAGAAUCGUAGCAAUUAUGCCACUCUGUGCAGAUGGAAGCUGGGAAUGUUGAUGGUGAGGGAGGCUGUAUAUAUGUAGA
Molecule: long non-coding RNA, 6942 nt
Organism: Cervus elaphus (red deer)
Lineage: Eukaryota; Metazoa; Chordata; Mammalia; Artiodactyla; Cervidae
Exons: 4
Source: RefSeq, a predicted model, not a curated record